AUCGAAGCCUCCUGCCAAUUUCCUUUUGACAGGUAUUGUGCAGGGUGGAUGUUGGCCUCCCGUGAGCUCUUUUGUCUCAUGGUUGGUUGAAAAUUGAGACCUUGGUAGGGUGUGCCAUGAUAAAUGGUGGUUGUGUGACCCACGAGACCAAUCAUGUGCUGCUCUAUUGAAUUUGGCCUCUUUUACCCGUAUGCGUUUCUAAACGCUCGUG
RNAcentral lists this unclassified non-coding RNA (211 nucleotides) under Lathyrus pratensis (meadow pea). Its description in RNAcentral is "partial internal transcribed spacer 2". The record is from RNAcentral. Lineage: Eukaryota; Viridiplantae; Streptophyta; Magnoliopsida; Fabales; Fabaceae.